RNAcentral lists this ribosomal RNA (469 nucleotides) under uncultured Rhodobacter sp. RNAcentral describes it as "bacterial SSU rRNA". It matches the Rfam family "Bacterial small subunit ribosomal RNA", at positions 1 to 524 of the family's 1533-position model. The record is from RNAcentral. Lineage: Bacteria; Pseudomonadati; Pseudomonadota; Alphaproteobacteria; Rhodobacterales.
UAGAGUUUGAUCAUGGCUCAGAACGAACGCUGGCGGCAGGCUUAACACAUGCAAGUCGAACGCAUCGCAAGAUGAGUGGCAGACGGGUGAGUAACGCGUGGGAACGUACCCUUUGGUACGGAAUAGCCCCGGGAAACUGGGAGUAAUACCGUAUGGUGUCUUCGGACUAAAGAUUUAUCGCCAAAGGAUCGGCCCGCGUUGGAUUAGGUAGUUGGUGGGGUAAUGGCCUACCAAGCCGACGAUCCAUAGCUGGUUUGAGAGGGUGAUCAGCCACACUGGGACUGAGACACGGCCCAGACUCCUACGGGAGGCAGCAGUGGGGAAUCUCAGACAAUGGGCGCAAGCCUGAUCUAGCCAUGCCGCGUGAGUGAUGAAGGCCCUAGGGUUGUAAAGCUCUUUCAGCUGGGAAGAUAAUGACGGUACCAGCAGAAGAAGCCCCGGCUAACUCCGUGCCAGCAGCCGCGGUAAU